RNAcentral lists this ribosomal RNA (478 nucleotides) under uncultured bacterium. Its description in RNAcentral is "partial 16S ribosomal RNA". It matches the Rfam family "Bacterial small subunit ribosomal RNA", at positions 28 to 523 of the family's 1533-position model. The record is from RNAcentral.
GACGAACGCUGGCGGCGUGCUUAACACAUGCAAGUCGAACGGUAAGGCCCUUCGGGGUACACGAGUGGCGAACGGGUGAGUAACACGUGGGUGAUCUGCCCUGCACUUCGGGAUAAGCCUGGGAAACUGGGUCGAAUACCGGAUAGGACUCCGGACUGCAUGGUCUGGGGUGGAAAGCUUUUGCGGUGUGGGAUGGGCCCGCGGCCUAUCAGCUUGUUGGUGGGGGGAUGGCCUACCAAGGCGACGACGGGUAGCCGGCCUGAGAGGGUGACCGGCCACACUGGGACUGAGAUACGGCCCAGACUCCUACGGGAGGCAGCAGUGGGGAAUAUUGCACAAUGGGCGCAAGCCUGAUGCAGCGACGCCGCGUGAGGGAUGACGGCCUUCGGGUUGUAAACCUCUUUCAGCACAGACGAAGCGCAAGUGACGGUAUGUGCAGAAGAAGGACCGGCCAACUACGUGCCAGCAGCCGCGGUAA